This 497-nucleotide ribosomal RNA is filed under the name uncultured bacterium. RNAcentral's name for it is "partial 16S ribosomal RNA". It matches the Rfam family "Bacterial small subunit ribosomal RNA", at positions 28 to 507 of the family's 1533-position model. The record is from RNAcentral.
GACGAACGCUGGCGGCGUGCCUAAUACAUGCAAGUCGAGCGAACAGACGAGGAGCUUGCUCCUUUGACGUUAGCGGCGGACGGGUGAGUAACACGUGGAUAACCUACCUAUAAGACUGGGAUAACUUCGGGAAACCGGAGCUAAUACCGGAUAACAUGUUGAACCGCAUGGUUCAACAGUGAAAGACGGUCUUGCUGUCACUUAUAGAUGGAUCCGCGCCGCAUUAGCUAGUUGGUAAGGUAACGGCUUACCAAGGCAACGAUGCGUAGCCGACCUGAGAGGGUGAUCGGCCACACUGGAACUGAGACACGGUCCAGACUCCUACGGGAGGCAGCAGUAGGGAAUCUUCCGCAAUGGGCGAAAGCCUGACGGAGCAACGCCGCGUGAGUGAAGAAGGUCUUCGGAUCGUAAAACUCUGUUAUUAGGGAAGAACAAAUGUGUAAGUAACUAUGCACGUCUUGACGGUACCUAAUCAGAAAGCCACGGCUAACUACGUG